This 1110-nucleotide long non-coding RNA is filed under the name Gossypium barbadense (sea-island cotton). RNAcentral's name for it is "long non-coding RNA (GBAR_LNC020657)". The record is from RNAcentral. Lineage: Eukaryota; Viridiplantae; Streptophyta; Magnoliopsida; Malvales; Malvaceae.
UUGGUCGUCGCGAACACCCACAAUGUGACCGUCGACCUCCGUAUAGGUAUACCCCUAGGACCACACCAUCGAACCAUCAAUUUUAGGGGUUUAUUGCACUUUGUUGUACAUUACAAAGUUUGUAAUUUUUGUAUAAAUUUAAUUAUUCUAACUUUAGGUAUGCUUACUACGGAACUUUUCUUCCCUUUUUGCAUUAUAUUAAAGCUAAAUUUAAUGCUAAAUGGCUCCAUUUUGGAUAUAAUUUUAAUUAUUCCAAAUGAAUUAUACUUUUUAUAACUUAAUUUGGAUACAAUUUAAGCAUAUGCAUAAGCAUAAGCAAAUGAAUAAUUUUAAUUAUUCCAAAUAGGUGUUACCACAACAUUGCAACAUUACAACAUUACACAUAACAACUUUACAGCAUAAGCUCAAUUUCGACCCGAUCCUGACGACUGUCCAACGAGAUAGUUUCAAUAUGCAAUUUUUUCAUUCUUAAGCUCAUACUAUUUCAGUUAUCAUUUUGUACAUGAACAACGUUUAACCACUAAUCCUAAUAACUAACACAAUAACAAUAAUAAUAGUUGUAAUACCCAAUUUUAGCCCGGGAUCACAUAUGGAAACAUAAUCUUCGAGGAUAUGUAAUCUUAGAUAUGAUAUGUAAUUUUAGAAGAUAUGAUUUUGUAAUAUUAGAGAUUUAAUUUGUAGAUACCCUUUAAUCUUAGCCGUUGAUGUAAUUGAUUUGUACCGUUGGAUUUGGGGAGGCUCAACUAUAAAUAGAGGCCUCUUCCUUCAUUGUAAAAAAAAAGGAGGAAAUCAAUAAAAAAAUAUGAUUAUAUUCACAGCAAAAGAGAGCAUACAAGCAGAGAAUAAAAAUCACAAAUAGAAAUUCAAAAAAAAAAAGAAAGGAAAAUAGAUUAAAAGGUAGUAAUUUAUUUCCUUCGUUUCCUCUUUUCUUCGAUUUGAUUUAUUGUAAUACAAAAAGUAAAGGGAAAGUAGGGGAAAUACCUGGUGACGCCUUCAAUCUAUGCAAAAAGAGCCAAUAAGCCCUUUGGGGUGCGACUCCGACCACCUUCCACGGUGGGAUCGCGGCAGAGGCGCGGCGACGUAGAAGCUAUGGUUGAAACCCUAGCAGAG